This 1554-nucleotide ribosomal RNA is filed under the name Shigella flexneri 5a str. M90T. Its description in RNAcentral is "bacterial SSU rRNA". It matches the Rfam family "Bacterial small subunit ribosomal RNA". The record is from RNAcentral. Lineage: Bacteria; Pseudomonadati; Pseudomonadota; Gammaproteobacteria; Enterobacterales; Enterobacteriaceae.
AAAUUGAAGAGUUUGAUCAUGGCUCAGAUUGAACGCUGGCGGCAGGCCUAACACAUGCAAGUCGAACGGUAACAGGAAACAGCUUGCUGUUUCGCUGACGAGUGGCGGACGGGUGAGUAAUGUCUGGGAAACUGCCUGAUGGAGGGGGAUAACUACUGGAAACGGUAGCUAAUACCGCAUAACGUCGCAAGACCAAAGAGGGGGACCUUCGGGCCUCUUGCCAUCGGAUGUGCCCAGAUGGGAUUAGCUAGUAGGUGGGGUAACGGCUCACCUAGGCGACGAUCCCUAGCUGGUCUGAGAGGAUGACCAGCCACACUGGAACUGAGACACGGUCCAGACUCCUACGGGAGGCAGCAGUGGGGAAUAUUGCACAAUGGGCGCAAGCCUGAUGCAGCCAUGCCGCGUGUAUGAAGAAGGCCUUCGGGUUGUAAAGUACUUUCAGCGGGGAGGAAGGGAGUAAAGUUAAUACCUUUGCUCAUUGACGUUACCCGCAGAAGAAGCACCGGCUAACUCCGUGCCAGCAGCCGCGGUAAUACGGAGGGUGCAAGCGUUAAUCGGAAUUACUGGGCGUAAAGCGCACGCAGGCGGUUUGUUAAGUCAGAUGUGAAAUCCCCGGGCUCAACCUGGGAACUGCAUCUGAUACUGGCAAGCUUGAGUCUCGUAGAGGGGGGUAGAAUUCCAGGUGUAGCGGUGAAAUGCGUAGAGAUCUGGAGGAAUACCGGUGGCGAAGGCGGCCCCCUGGACGAAGACUGACGCUCAGGUGCGAAAGCGUGGGGAGCAAACAGGAUUAGAUACCCUGGUAGUCCACGCCGUAAACGAUGUCGACUUGGAGGUUGUGCCCUUGAGGCGUGGCUUCCGGAGCUAACGCGUUAAGUCGACCGUCUGGGGAGUACGGCCGCAAGGUUAAAACUCAAAUGAAUUGACGGGGGCCCGCACAAGCGGUGGAGCAUGUGGUUUAAUUCGAUGCAACGCGAAGAACCUUACCUGGUCUUGACAUCCACGGAAGUUUUCAGAGAUGAGAAUGUGCCUUCGGGAACCGUGAGACAGGUGCUGCAUGGCUGUCGUCAGCUCGUGUUGUGAAAUGUUGGGUUAAGUCCCGCAACGAGCGCAACCCUUAUCCUUUGUUGCCAGCGGUCCGGCCGGGAACUCAAAGGAGACUGCCAGUGAUAAACUGGAGGAAGGUGGGGAUGACGUCAAGUCAUCAUGGCCCUUACGACCAGGGCUACACACGUGCUACAAUGGCGCAUACAAAGAGAAGCGACCUCGCGAGAGCAAGCGGACCUCAUAAAGUGCGUCGUAGUCCGGAUUGGAGUCUGCAACUCGACUCCAUGAAGUCGGAAUCGCUAGUAAUCGUGGAUCAGAAUGCCACGGUGAAUACGUUCCCGGGCCUUGUACACACCGCCCGUCACACCAUGGGAGUGGGUUGCAAAAGAAGUAGGUAGCUUAACCUUCGGGAGGGCGCUUACCACUUUGUGAUUCAUGACUGGGGUGAAGUCGUAACAAGGUAACCGUAGGGGAACCUGCGGUUGGAUCACCUCCUUACCUUAAAGAAGC